Molecule: long non-coding RNA, 1160 nt
Organism: Xiphophorus couchianus (Monterrey platyfish)
Lineage: Eukaryota; Metazoa; Chordata; Actinopteri; Cyprinodontiformes; Poeciliidae
Exons: 2
Source: RefSeq, a predicted model, not a curated record
CAGGUCACCAGGCGCCUGCAGGAAGUGAGGGCGGAAGUGACGCUCUUGGAUGUUGUCGUUCUCGUCACCGCUGUCUCUGGACCGAGAUCGGGGCCUGGCAGAGACGCAGAGGACAGCAGUGUUCCUCUGAAUCCUCCCUGUGACCUCACCAUCCCACCUGCACCUGAAGCAGGGCUGUACAUAGAAGAAAAAAACCCCAGAAACAAACAAAAAGAAAAAAAGGUCAUUCGGGCACCGAUUGUUAUCUCGGUCUCUCUCCUCACCCAAAACAACGCGGCGCUGUUAUCUAAUCGGGGCGUGUCCAUGGUGAUAACAGCUCACAGGUGGUUUUUAUGUCCACAGCCUCUGUGAUCAUCUUUUACUAUCCGGGCUUGCAUGAGUACACACCGUGUAUACAAGGUCAGAACAAGCAUGUGUUCCCUCUCAUUAACACUCAGAUUUUCUUUGAAUGAACAGUUAAACAAAGAACAGAGUGUGAGUUCAGUUCAUGGCAAACACUUGUGUAAAUAUGAGUCUCCUGGAAGCUUUUCUGGCCUGAAUCUGUGCAGAAAUGCGAGGGGCUGCAGCAGCAGGCGUGCCAGCCAGCAGCUGGAUGGAUAACUUUUAAAAAAGUACAGGUUUUGUUUUGUUUGCCCUUUUGAAUAUUGGAACCGAAUGGCUGAAAAACAUAUCACAAUAGAAGCGUUUCAGUCGAUAGUUAUAUUGGUUUGUUUUUUCUUUUGAAUAUCAGAAAUACUGUCAAACUGGUGACCUUUCCUGCUUUAUCCAGAUUUCACUUCAUGCUGUUGUUUUUUUAUUUUUAAGCAGUUUUGUGAAACAUGAAACUGCUGCUGCACUAGUUGUGCAACAAGUUGUUGCUAGGUAACCAACUACUGAGUGAGUUGAUGCUACCUCCCUUGCUUAGCUAGUCUCUAGAGGUUGAGCAGCUAAAGCCUUUAUUCUGCUUACAUCCCCCAGAAUGCAGUUCUGGAUUGUGUCUUUUGCCAUAUAUUUUACUGAACCCCAAAUUUACCCUUAAACACUUAUAAGUUUUCACAUUUUAGUCCUUUCUACUUCCACUUCUUACCCACGUGUACACCCGCAAGUAUUUUUAUGAAUACUAGUAUUCAAGUAUUUUAGGAAUUAUGGAAAUAAAUAAUUGAGAAAAUGUUCAAACAUCA